RNAcentral lists this ribosomal RNA (506 nucleotides) under mine drainage metagenome. RNAcentral describes it as "bacterial LSU rRNA". It matches the Rfam family "Archaeal large subunit ribosomal RNA", at positions 977 to 1494 of the family's 2987-position model. The record is from RNAcentral.
UGCGGUAGAGCUACCGAUUAGCGGGUACGGGGUCGAAAGGCCUCCCUCGCUCGUCAAACUCCGAAUGCAUGCGCUGUGUAGACCCCAGGAGUCGGCGGUGUUGGGUAAGCUAGCACCGCGAGACUACAAAGAUAGUGACUAGGGUUAAGGUCCCCAAAUCCUAAUUGAGUGUGUGAAAGGUGGGGAAUGCCGUAGACAGCUGGGAGGUAGGCUCAGAAGCAGCCAUCCUUCAAAAAACGCGUAAUAGCGUACCAGUUGAGGCAUACCUUGCCGAAAAUAUACGGGGCUAAAUUAGGUACCGAGACCCUAGAGUGCGAUAAGCACUGGUAAGGGGGCGUGCGGCAUGGCACGAAGUAUGUUUGGAAGAACAUAUGGACUAUGCCGCAGAGAAUAUCCUGGUGUUAGUAACAGCAAAUAUGGGUGAGAAUCCCAUACACCGUAAGCACACGGUUUUCUUCGCAACGCUCGUCAGCGGAGAGUUAGGCGAUCCUAAGAGGCAGGCCAAU